UAAGUUGUCAUCCGCACUGGGGCCGGGCUUUCUGGUGAUGUAGCUGCCUCCGAGGCACCCAUUCUCCUCCAAGUUAUCCUUUACCCAUGCUCCUGGAAGUAGUCCCUGUGAACAGACUGGUUCAUUAAGUUAGACUUGAAUAGAUCUGUUUCCUGUGCCCCCCACAGGGGAGAGGGUGAAUAAAUGUUUGCUCAUCCCUCCCCCAGGAAAAGCCAUACAACACCUGUUCUUCAGAAACCUCUUACCUAUAAAUGGGCUUGGGGCAACGCUUACAACCUGUUUCCUGGCUUGCCCUCCCCACCAACGACACAGUGGCUUCCCGAAUCUCUGGCUACCCUGCUCAAACUCUGAACUCCACCUACUACCAGGCUCCUCCUGAAGACAGACAGGCUCGCUUCUUGGCCCUGAGUACCACACCUACUCUGGGUAGUCAGUACCCAGCCACCAUGCAGUCUGCUUUGUCUACGGACAGAUUCAGCAAUCACCUGUUGAGCAAUAGGUGCAAAGCACCACACUGCGAUGGGGAUGAACUUUCUAGUAAAUGAGGAUAAUAUCUACAUAUUUUGAGGAAGUGAGUUCUCAUUCCUCCAUUUAUUUUCACGUUGUUUACUGUUAGAAUUACCUAUGCGCCAGGACUUGAAGGACACAACAACGAAACCAAACGAAACCAAACGAAAUGAAACUGAUACUUCUCUAUCACACGUGAGGACCUGGGGCUCUCAAACCUGCUAAGAUUCUGCCAAUAGCAGAGCCAGGGACUGAAGACAUACUGUACAUGGUACUAAGCAUCCCCAUGAGUACCAGAUUCUAGACGUUGCUCCUCAAGAGACUAAGGGAUGCUGAGCAGAGAGAACCUACAGGCAAAGACCAGGCUGCCCCGACAACUCAACAGACUCAGAAGCGCUGUAUUUUAAAGCAUAGGGGAAAGCGAUUCCUAAAAUAUUCGGAUGUUCUCAACUUUGGUUGGAGAGGCUUCUUCGUUGUGGUUGGAAGCAGUCAACGGAGAGAUGUAUAAGUGCUCAAAGUGCUGAGAAAGACAGAGAGACUUCUUAGGACAUAGGACAAUAUUGACCACCCAACCACCAAGGCCCAGGAACAUGACGGAAGAGGGAGUGGCAUGGAGAAGAGUCCUGUGAAAUGCUGGCUUCUGGAAGUGACAUGGCUAUCACAAUCAUGACCUCUCAGUAGCUGAGGUUACCUGCAUAAGAUCUACCCCAGAUCAAGCCAACAAAAAUCCCCACAUGGUAGGUAGAUGAUCUCCAAGCCCACCCUAUACUCAGGAGCUAUUGGAAAUAGAUUUGCCAAAGACAGGAGGAAUUUUUUUCUUAAGAAUGUGGUCAGUGGUGGUUUCCCAUGCUCCAGUGGCCCAUAUACCCAUGCAUAUAUGGGUAGCACUGACUAGAGGAGGCAUAUUGGGGAGGACAUAAAGGGGGGAAAUGGGAAGUAGACAUGAUCAUCUUUCAUUGUGUUCAUGUAUGAAACUCUCAAAAAUAAAGACUAAAAACAGAAAUUAGUAAUGCAAAUCCCUGCCUGGUACUAUCCUAUGUAGUAGAAGAGACUGAUUAAAUAAGAUUAUUUUUUCUGUCCACUAUUAUCCAUUUUCAAUCACUUAGUGUGGCCUGUU
Rattus norvegicus (Norway rat) is the source of this 1624-nucleotide non-coding RNA. The record is from RefSeq and is a predicted model, not a curated record. Lineage: Eukaryota; Metazoa; Chordata; Mammalia; Rodentia; Muridae.